UACGGAGGAUGCAAGCGUUAUCCGGAAUGAUUGGGCGUAAAGCGUCCGCAGGUGGCUGUGUAAGUCUGCUGUUAAAGAGUGAGGCUCAACCUCAUAAAGGCAGUGGAAACUACAUGGCUAGAGUGCGUUCGGGGCAGAGGGAAUUCCUGGUGUAGCGGUGAAAUGCGUAGAGAUCAGGAAGAACACCGGUGGCGAAAGCGCUCUGCUGGGCCGACACUGACACUGAGAGACGAAAGCUAGGGGAGCGAAUGGG
Molecule: ribosomal RNA, 253 nt
Filed under: uncultured bacterium
Lineage: Bacteria
Description: partial 16S ribosomal RNA
Rfam family: Bacterial small subunit ribosomal RNA
Source: RNAcentral